Molecule: non-coding RNA, 187 nt
Organism: Sediminibacillus halophilus
Lineage: Bacteria; Bacillati; Bacillota; Bacilli; Caryophanales; Bacillaceae
Source: Rfam
AUCAAGCUACGUUGUUCGUAAUGAUAAUAAGUUUUAACCUUUAAACUGUAAUAGGGAGUUUUAAAUUGAAUGUGGAAUGUCAAGCCUCCAUGAUAGAGGAAGACAGGAAGGAUUCUGCGAACACCCACUUUGAGGAGUGGUGGUUUAAAACUUUAUUACGUGAGGUUACGGCAAAUGUGGCUCUAAA